GUUAGUAACGAGCAGUGGAAAUGCAAUCCAAUAAUUCAGGAGGAUCGUGGGGUUUCAUUGAAUCCCCUUUAAUGAACAAUCAAGUAACACAGAGAAACAACAGGCAUGUUAACUUUUUUGAGAAUAAACAGGUGAAAAUAAAGGCUAAUUCCCGACAGAGUCUGGGUUUCUCAGUAUGUAUCAACAGGGAAAUUUCCCUAGGAGUGCAGGCAAAAAUAAAGUUUGCCCAGUCAUUGACCCUAGCACCCACUUUGACGGGAUCGCCUUGAAGAAGCGCCCCUUUACUGGGAUGGUCCUCAGGACAACGCUGCGAACCGACGAGGGUCAAAAGCUGCCCCUGCUGGACGUGACGGAGGAGUGAAUCGUCUGGUUGGCCAGACUGAAGGUGGAACCUCGGUCCCCCGCAAACCUCACUGUUGAGGCCUGGAGGAGCACCGUUUCUCUGCUGUCCUCUGCUCGGAGCCGACCUCUCGCAGACGGUUCUCUUGAACCUUACUUUACUUUCACUGACAAUAAUGCCUCCGGCUGGAUUUCCAUGUGAGGCUUUAAAUUUUCUUCGGCGGACAAGGGGCACAAGAACCAGGGCUGGGCGUCAGCUCCCCGCUCGGGCGGCCGCCGGGAAGGGUCACGAAGGCGCCCGACCCGGGAGACGUGCGCCCCUGCGGCGCUCCGGGCCUGCGUCGCUUCCGCAGGUCGUCUGACCACCCAGACUGCGCUGAGCGCAAACCGCUUCUAGAAGAAAGCGUGCGGCUAGCGCGGCGGGCAGACUACAUAACUGCCCCCACCGCUCACCGCUCACCGCUCACCUAUCAGUUUCAAAAUCACGAAGAGAAACGGCCGGCACGUCAGCCUUGGGAGCGGGGCCGCCGCAGAACGGGCUCCGGCCGCGGGCUCACGCAACUGCCGCCGACGCACGCCGGAAGUCCCUCGCGUCGCGGCCGGCCGUGGGCACGCGUCAUGACGUCACUGGGAAGCGUUGGAGGAGCGCCCUCGCGGCGUCUGCUGGGAGUUGUGGUCCGCCCUCGGUGGGUAGAUCCAGCCUCCCGGGGCAAGGCCGGAAGUGGCUGUUAAAGCCUCGAGGCGUGUCAAGGGUUGGCGUUCGGAAGUCCAGCAACGGGGGUGCCCUUCGUGAGCUCGGGUGACCGUCCUGGCGCUGGACCGCGGCGUGAGGCUCGCGGAGGGGAGGGCGGUUGCCUGGCGUCACCAGGGUAACCGCCAGCCCUGCGGGCGCGUGACGUCACCCCUGGGUUGGCCGUGACGCGUCUCGGCUGGAGGAAGCCGGGGAGUCGGAGAAGGGGGCGCGCCUCGCCGGGUUUGCGCGGGCGGGUCCGCCCCGCUCUUCGCACGCUUUGUUCUUUUGUUCUGGUCUGCGGCGAAGUCGGGCCGCCCCAGCCGUAGCUCUGCAACAGGUGUGUCUUGGGCUCCCGCACCCACGGGGCGCCACCAGGGAGAGGGGGCCGCGCGGGCGCCCUGGCCCGGAGCGGCCGCGCCGCGCAGUCCGUCGGCGCUGGGUCCUCGUGCAGGGCCUCCGCGCCGCUGGAGGCUCAGGUGCGCCUCUGACGUGCCGCUGACGGCGUCCGGAGUCGGCGGGGCCGCCGGCCCUGGCUCCUGGGGCUCCACUGCGCACGCACGGGGACUUCAGAGCCCCGCGUCACGCGGUAGCUGCCGGGGCGCGGCCCGGGAGCCCGGAGCCCGGGCCCGAGGACGUGAUGAGCUCCAGGGCCCGCGAGGGAGUGCGCACCCCGCGCAGCAGCCCCACCCCGCACUAGAACUGGCGGGGCUGGGGGCGCGCGUUCGAGGAGUGGACCGACUGGCGUUAAAGGGGAGGCGAGGGGCCGUCCCCUGGGCCUCCGCGCGACCUCCGCCCCGUGAGAGAAGACCUCGCCGAGUGCGGGACUCAGUCCUGAAAUGCUCGUGGCUGAUGGCCGUCCGUCAGGCCGAUGCCAGAACUGGAGUGCUGCGAGGGUGGCUCCAAACUCGCCAUUUUGGGUGCGACAACUCCUUGCUGGCUUUCUUUUUCAGUUCCUCGGGCUAGACAGGCGUGCCUGUUGGGUGGCUUCGGUGUGGGCCUCGACUCUUGGUCUCUAAAAGCACCGGGGCUGCUCUUCCUCCCUUCGCAGGUGAAUCCAGCUGUGCAGUCCCGCCCCCAGAUGCCCUGCUCCGCAGUCUGGCCUCCGGGCCUCGGGUGGGUCUGUGAGGUCCGUCCAGGCUUCCCUGCAUCUCCUGAACCGCAGUGCCUGAGACCGAACCUCGUUCUUGAGAUGCGCUUUGAAAAAUACCUGGCAGUAUGAUGUAGUGCUGUUUUUUAUGUGGAUUUAGUUGGGCAUCAAAUUUUAUUUGUUUUUUUAAAACAUCAGUGAUAUUCUUUUUUGCAUAAACUGAAUGAAUUAGAUUAAUGCUGUUCUUAUAACGGGAUUGUUAUCCUUAACGUCAACAUAGGCGUUUGUGAUUGUUUUGAUAUUUUGGCAGGGGCGGGGGGGGGGGGGCGGUUGUUCCUGUCAGAAUAAUUAGAAAACCUAAUUUGGUUUUUCAGUGUUUUCAUGUUUUAAUUGUCCUUUCGAACUUUAUGUCAUUACAAAUUUGAAAAGCAUUUCUUCUGUUUCUUCCUUAUGUCAUUGAAUAGGUCAAGGUAAGGGGAAGCCCUGUAACAUGGCACUGUAGACUCCUCUGCAUUGUCAUUGUCUUUACAGUCUUUCAGUAUGACUGUGUGGACAGUUUAAUGAUUGUCAUUCAGCCCUUUUUCUUGCAUUGUUAAGAAUAAUAUCAUUAAAAAUCUCAACAUUAUUGUUGAUGUAGGUUUGAACUGUACUUUAUAUUUUUCCUCAUUUUUUACCCCUUAUAUCUUUUUAUAAUGUUCUUUUAAAUUCUAAGAUCCUCAGAAUUGAAUGGGCCAAAAUGCUUUCCUUAAGACUAUUUUUUCCUUCUUUUUGAGACUUUUCAUAAUUGCAUAAUUAGAAUCAUCUUUUCUGAGCCUCUGUGCCUUUUGAUCCCUUGCUUGCAUCCUCACCUAGUAUUUACUUUAACCCAGGCACACAACUGGCUUCUGUAACUGUUAUAGGUGUUGCUUAUUUGGUUGCUGUUACUUGCAAUCAUAGUGUUCUACCUGAGAUAUUUUUCAUGAUCCUGAUAUUCCCAGAGUUUUUGGUAACCAAUUAUCAGUGUACAACAUUUUCUCUCACUGAUAAAAACUACAAGAUAACAUCUUCAUUUUUACUGAAGAGUUCUGUUUUUAAAAGUUUUUUCAUUUAUUGAAAGUUCAGUUGGGAUAAAUUCCCUUUAUUGUUUCUUUUCUUUUUUUUUUGCAGGGCUAUGGAUUGUAACCACAGCCUUGCUCUUGCUAGGUGAACACUCUACACCUGAGUUGCAUCCCAGCCCCACAUCCUCUUCUGGGGCAUGACACCAUUAAGAUAAAUCAAGAAUCUCUUGACUGGCAGACGUUUCAUUUUCACAGAGUGAAAUCUGUAUUCCUGUGCAGACAGAUGAAGCCAGGGACACCAUCCUGGCUCUCCUUUCGUUCCCCAUCACCUCCACCUGCCUCAACUGACUGUGAUGUGGUGCUGCUUUUAUUCUUUUUCCUUUUGAUGUAUCUAUAGUUCCAUGUUUCACACUGGGAUUACUGCAUUGGAUAGUUAUUCUUCCUGUUUCUAUCAGAUCAGUUUGAGUAAAUUUUACCCAGCCCUCUUUAAUCCACAGCUUGAUUGCAAAACCCACAAUAGGCCAGAGGGAUUCUGUAAUUUGAGUCUUAGGCCUGAAAUCAGAUGACACAGAUCCCCUCAUGGUGGUGUCCAAAGAGACUAUCUGUGCACCUUAAUGGUACUUGCUAGAUCCUCUGAAAUGACUUGGGCCCUGUCUGUUAGAAUAUUCAGUGUUUUUGUUUUUCAUGGUCCCUGAUAUCUUUAUAUUUAAUCCCUUCUUGUUUUUCUUUUUGUUUUUUAAGUUCUGUGGUUUGAGGGUCUUAACUCCAGUUAUAACUUGCAUCCAAACAACCUUGGUGAUACCUAAAUAAUUGUGCUUCUCUCCUUCUAUUCAGAGUUAAAUCUUCUUGGCUUAUUGCUACAGUAUCAUGCAUUUGGGUCUGUAGUCAUAAAUAGUCUUCAUUAUUUGUUUAGUAUUUACUUAUUGGAGAUGGUAUCUCACUACAUUGCCCAAAAUGGCCAUAAAUUCCUGGGCUCUAGCCAUCUUCCUGUCUCAGCCUCCUAAUAGCUGGGACUACAGGCAUGUGCCCCAUACCCAGAUUAAAUAACCUUUUUGAUUUUUACCUGUUUUAUUUUUACCAACCAUCUUUUACAGCGUUAUUAGUCUUUUAUUUCAUAAUUCAUAUAUUUAAUUUUAAAUUUAUAACCAGAACCAUCUUCCCUAGCUUGUGUUUCUAUAAAAUUAAAAUUGAAAGGUGAGAAAAUUCUUCUUGCCUGUGUCUUUAAGGAAACAGGUACAUCUAUUUUUGUUUUCCUCAUCUUUAUCUCUUCCUCAAGAUAAUUUUAAAAAGCAUAUUUGCCAGACGUUUGUCUCCACACUUUUGAAGAUGUGGGAAUCAAAGCUAGAGAAGAGUAGGGGCUUAUAUAAUUGUGUAUGAUCAAUUAAUAUUCAUUAGUAGUUCUGAGAACCAGGCUUUGCUGACAACCUGAACUAGGAAUAGAUCUCCCCAAGAGCAAAAUUUGUUUUUGUUUUGUUUAUUGAGAUACAGGUUACAUGUAGAAAGUGUGCAAAUAUACUAGUGUAACCUACACCCACGUCAAGUCAGAAAAUUUCCAAUGCCUCAGUCUCUUGUUUCCCUGCCAGGGAUUGAUGCCCUCAGAGGCAACCACUAUUCUAAUUCCCUUUCCAUAGAUCAUUUUUGUCUGCUUUUUAACUUAAUGGAGGCAUUCAGUAUGCAUUCUUCCAUGUCUGGAUUAUUUUACUUGACAUUGUUAAUGCGUAGCUUUUUCCUAUUAUUUUGGAAUACUAUUUUUUUGUAUGAGUACACCAUGGUUUGUUCAUCCAUUUUCCUGUUGAAAGACAUUUGGGCUGGGUGGUGUUGCAAACCUGUAAUGCCAGUUACUGGAGAGGCAGAGCUUCAGGAGGAUUGCAAGUUCACAGCCAGCCUGAGCAACUUAUCAGACUGUCUGUCUGUCUCCAGAAAGAGAUAAAGGGGUGGGGGGUGUAUCUGGUAGAGUGCCCCAGGUUCUAUCCCCAGUCCUGCAGAAAACAAAAAGUGGGAAAAAAGGGGAGGGGCAUUUGGGUUUUUUCCAGUUUGAGGAUAUUAAGAAUAAACCUGCCAUGAAUAUUCUUAUGCAAAUCUUUUUUUAAUUGAUUCUUUGUUAUAAAUGACAGUAGAAUCCAUUUUGAUGAAAUUCUACAAGCAUGGACUGUAGUUCAUUCUAAUCAGGACCCCAUUCUUGUGGUGGGCACGAUGGUGGAAUUCACUUAGGUAUUUCUUAUGUGUACAUAGGAAAAUAUGUUAGGUCUUUCCUACUGUCUUUCCUAUUCCUAGCCCCCUUCUUACACAAAUCUUUACAGGGACACAGGCCCUGUAGUUGUAUGCAUAGGUGUGGAAUGAAAGCAUCAUGGAGUGAACGUACGUUUACCUUUAGUAUGUACUACCAGUUCUCCCAAGUGUUUGGUCAGCUUACACCCUCAUAACAAUGUGCAAAAGUUCCAGUUGCCAUAAUUACUAUUGACCAGGUCUCUUCAAUUUCAGACAUUCUAGUGGGUAGGCAGUAUAAAUUGUGUUACUGUGAGAUUUAAUUUGCAUUAAUGGCAAAAUUUUCAAAUGGCCUAUGAAGACUUUUGGAAAGUAAUUUGAAUAUUAUGUGUAGCAAAGAAAGGGAGCAAAAAUAUUUUGCCUCCCUUAAUGAAGAACAUAGAGAUGUAUGAUCCAUAUUACUAAUUAAAUAUCUAGGGACAAAACUGCAUCUGAAGUAACGGCUUAACUCUAUAGAGCUUACCGAGGAGGGUGCCAGCACCCCAGUUAACAGUUAUCUUGCAUCUUUUUUUUUAAUUCCGAAAUAUAAAGGAAAUGGCAUAGUUUUGGCUAUUUCCAAAUAGAAAAGUAGGUGGAUUUUGUGGUUUGCUGGGAGCAGCUAAUGUACAUAGAAUUCAUCAUGGCCUUUUCUUCCUCCCCUAGGUAUGUCUUCUCCAGACGACCGCCUUCUCAAUGGGGAAUGUACCCUGCUCCCAUCAGCCAGUUUUCGGGUAAGUUGGGAUUUUCUGAAGUACUGUUUCAUUUCUCAGAGUAGGAUUGUGUUUUUUGCUGUGGAGUAUAUUUAUCCAAAAGCCAAUGUUGCAAUUUAUUCUGGACUUUCAUUUGUCCAGUGACCUCAUUGCCAUCUCUGCUUCCCCAGCUUUGACUAAUCCAUUCACCACUUACUCUUGCUUAGUAUCUUGCAGUGCUGCAGGGAUAGUAGAGCACACUUGAUUCUUUACUUGGAUCAGCCAAAAUGAUGCUAAAAACCAAAACAGCUAAAUAUAGAAAAGGUGAAUGAGUACCGUGGAAAUUGGAGAAUGAGGAAGCUUAUGUGAUCUGGAGGGUAUUUCCAGAGUUUCAUGGAGGAUAUGGGAUUUGGGAUGCCUCUCAAAGGAAGGGUGAAACUUGGAUAUUUGAACAAAUAAGGUGCAAGGGAUGGAUUCUAGGUAUGCAGAAGGAGAUUAUAUGCAGAGAUUCACAAGGAAGCAGUAGCAAGGGUUACACAGGAUUCAGAGAAACCUGGAGAAGAUGUUUUUGCUGUGUUAAACAAAUGCUGAAGGAGAUCAGAUUGUGAAAGGCCUUGAGCACCUGGAUGAGAAGCUGAAGGCUUUAUCCUUUAGGCCAUUUGUGAACCUUUAGUAGUUUCUAAUGGAGGAAAGGUGCCUGCUGAAGUUUUUAGCAGAAACAGUUGCUUGAGAACUUGGACAGGUAAUAGUUGCUGCACCAACCAUAGUCACCUGUCAGCCCCUUGAUCGGGUUCCGUCUUAGUCUUUCCCCCUGCUUACUUCCUGUCCCACAACAUAAUCUUCUUUCCAAAGAAGUGGUCCCAGUUCUUCCCACUUUCAGUUUAAGCAUUUUUAGUAUCACUGUAUGUUUUACUGAGGUAUACUAUGAGAAAAAGUACACUCAGUCAUCCCUGGGUGUCCUCACAGAUACCAACAUCCAUGGAUGCUCCAGUUCCUUAUAUGAAAGGGUAUGUUGCACACAGCCUAUGCAUGUCCUCCUGAAUACUUAUUUGUAGUUUACUCAUAAUGUCAAAUACAAUGUACAAUGUAAGUAAACAGUUGUUAUUAUAUGUUAUUUAUGGAAUAAUGACAAGAAAAAAGUCUGUGCCUGUUCAGAUAAGUCUGUACUCUUUCAGAUAUAAUCCAUAGCCAGCUGAAUCUGCAGAUGCAGAGCCCACAAAUGAGCAAGGCAAACAUGUAUUUGAUAAGUUUGUACCCAGGUACAUACUCAUAGAGAAACUGUAUUUUGAAUAAUUGUAUUAUUUUAGUUUAUUGAGAUUUAUUUUUUGUUUUAUUUUUUAUUUUUGCUUUUUUGGCCAAGUAUAAUGGUUCAUUCUGGUAAAUGAUUAGCACUAGAGAAGAAUGUAUGUAUAUUUUUCUGCUAUUGUGUGAAGUGUUCAAUAGAUACAUUAGUUUGCUGCUGCUGUAAUUAAUUACCAUAUGCUGUAUUAUUAUAGAUGUUACUUUACGUAUGCAUAUUUGACUUACCACCGUUUACCUCAAAGUGAUGAACCAUUUCAUGCAUAGUGUACUUUGAUCCCCCAUUUUUACACUAUUUUUGCUUUGUAUUUUACUUGUGCAUAUAUUAAAAAUCUUAUAAUACUUUGUUAUUUUCAUUUAGGCAGCUAAUUAUCUUUGAAAGAGGUUUAAAUAAUAAGAAAAAAAAAUCCCCAUAUAUUUAGCUACCAUUUCUGGUGUUCUUGAUUUCUUCGUGGUUCACAGUUGAAGGUGAUUUUGAUCCUAGGGAACAUUUAGAAAUGUUAGACACAUUUUUAAUUGUCUAACUUGAUGAGGAGUACUACCAGUGUCUAGGGUGUACAGUGCUACAGGCAGGUAGCCAUGCUGCCUAUAGUACACAGGACAGCCCUCCUCCAUUAUUUAAGAGAGUCAUCCAGUUAUCAACAGCUGAGGCUGAGAAAUCUUGCUGUAGGAUCUGUGUUUUAUCUGGUAUUAUUUUCCUUCUGAUGAGGACUUCCUUAACAUUCCUUGUAUUGUAUGAUUCUAUUCAGAUUUUUAUGUCUGAAAUAGUAUUUCCCUUUGUUUUUGAAUUCUAAUUUGGCAGACUUUUUUUUUAAGUACAUGAUAGUGUUCCACUGUCUUCUUGCUUGCAUUGUUUCCAAGAAAAAAACGAUGUAAUUUUAUAUUUGUUCCUUCAUAAGUAUUUUUUCCUUUGUUUGUUUUAUUCUAUCUCUGAAUUUUCUUUUGGUGGAGUUUUCUUUAUGUUUCUUAUGCUGGCAGUUCAUUGAAUUUUUUGGAUAUGUGGGUUUAUAAUUUUCAUCAAUUUUGAAAUAUAUCUGUUUCAUUAUGGAUAAUUUCUACUUUUAUGUCACUGAGGUUACUAAUCAUCUCUUCUUCGGUUCCUAAUCAGUUAAUAUUAUCAAGUGUAUUUUUUAUCUCAGAACAUUCUUACUUUUGGCUCUGUAAGUUCUGUGUGGUAUUGUUCUUAAUGUCUUCCAUAUCUCUUCCUAACUUUUUGAACAUGGAAUACAGUCCUUUUGCAGGGGAGGGGGCGGGGGUGAGUAACUAGAGAUUGAACUCAGGGGCACUCAACCACUGAGCCACAUCCCCAGCCCUUUUCUGUAUUUUUUAUUUAGAGACAGGGUCUCACUGAGUUACUUAGCGCCUCGCUGUUGCUGAGGCUGGCUUUAAACCCGUGAUCCUCUGCCUCAGCCUCCCAAGUUGCUGGGAUUACAGGCGUGCUGGAAUACAGUCUCAAUAACUUUAAUAUUCUUGUCUGAUAUUUUUAGCUUCUAGACAGUUCUGGGUUGGUGUCCGUUAAUUGAUGUUUCCCCCUAAGUAUGACUUGUAUUUUUCCACUUCUCUAUAUACUUGAUAAUUUUCUAUUGCAUGUAACACACUGGAUUCUACAUAUUUUUAUGUUCCUUUUUUAAAAUUUUUCUUUUAGGUACCAGGAGUGAAUGGGUUCUUAACACUGAGCCACAUCUCGAAGCCCAUCCUCCUUCCCCACCUUUUUUAUUUGGAGAUAGGGUUGCUUAGGAAGCAAACAAGGUGAGCCCUGUGCAUGCUCCAUCCAGCUCACUGCUUGAUAGUUCCCAAGUUGUGGGGAGGGAGGGGAACCCUGGAGGAGGCUUGAUGCCCUGAGAUGAUGCUCCUCUCUGGUUGUCAUGCAUGCACACUAAGUUUCUGAGGCUGACUUUGAACUUGUGAUCUGAGUGGCGCAGGUGUGUGCCACUGCCCCCAGCUCCUGUGGUGUGUUCUUGAUCCUUAUUCCAGGAUACAAUUCAGUUACUGGAAACAGGGUUUGCUUUUCAGCCUAUUUACACAAUUCUUAGGUAAGUCGGGAGUAGCAGUUAGUCCAAGUCCAUUUGUCUGUUUAUUCCCCCUACUAAGGCAGGACUGUUCUGAGAAUUCUACCUAGUGCUGCAUAAAUUAUGAAGUUUCCAGGUUGACUGAUGGGAACAGACUGUUUUCAGCCCUUUGAGGUCUCUGAAGCCCUUUUGGGUGACUCUUUGGCCUUCGGUUAUCUCAUCACACCCUGGCACUGAUUGUGCUUUGCAAGGCACUCAUAAAGAGCUCUCAUUGCUCUCCCCCCCAGCAGUCUGUCCUGUGAACCCUAGUCACCUCAAGUCACAGAGCUGCCUCUUCAUCUCAGGGCAUCAAGGCUCCUCCAGGGUUCCCCUCCCUCCCCACAACUUGGGAACUAUCAAGCAGUGAGCUGGAUAGAGCAUCCACAGGGCUCACUUUGUUUGCUUCCCAACCACUGAGCUUCAUUACCUGAGGUUCUAGAUGUGGAACUUGUUUCAUUUUGUCUGGAAUUUUUGGUAUUUCAUGCAGGAGGGUAAAUCCAACUCCUGUUAAUGCCAUUUGGCCAUGGCUUAAUCCUACUGACAUUGAUUUUUGGACAGCAAGCUUAUUAGGGUUGAUCCAGUGUAAGCUCUCUAUAGGGCUACUUUUCCAGGACCUGUGGACAGUUUAGUUCAGCGAUCCUCAGGAGUAGAUCAUGACUCGGCUGUAAUACUCUGAGAGUCUUACAGCCAACAGGGCCAGAAGGAAGGGCAUUCAUAAGCAGAGUCCAGAAGUCUGGUCACAGGCUCCUCUCUGGUUGUCAUGCAUGCACCUUCUCACUGUGAUCACAGACACGAGAAGCAUCUACCCAGGCAAGUCUUCUUGAGCCUUGGAGUUCAGAGCUUUUAAGUGUAGCUGCCAGAUGAUCAGCUGUGGCACAGACCCCACACAGGACACUGGGUCCAUAACAGAUGGCCCCUGUUUACUUUCAGCAGUGGAGACAGUCCGGCAUGUCUGCCCAGUGCUUCACACACCUGGAAUGACAUCAGCAGUCAGUGCUGUGUGAGCAUUCCAAGUUUUAGUUUUAGAGCUUGUUCAAGGGUCAUCAUCAUGGAGCCAGGUUUCCUUGGAUGUACCAGGGACCAAGCCCAACAGACCUGCUGCUUCAACUCCUCCAUUGCAGUCUGGACUUGCCCUGUUCUUACAGCAUGCUGGGAUUUUUCAUGGGCACCCAUCAUGUGCAUCUCUUAAUGUUACAUUUACUUGCCCGUGGAGAUCAUAUUUAUUUCAGAUAUUUGGAGCUCCUUCCUUCCAGUGGAUUCCCUCCUUCAAUAGUUAAGAUCCCCAGCACUGUAAAAACAAGAAAUACAGCAGAUGUCUGCAUAAAGUAUUUUAGAAUAGAUGUUGCAUGUAUUCUUUAGCCACCCUUCCUAUUAAUGGAAAUGUUACUUUGAUUUUUCUUCCCUCCAAGCCCACCAGCACUUAUACUUAGACUCUUUGCACCUUGGGGCAUGUCUCCUGUAAGUAGUAAGCCGGAAUUGAAUGGCAUAUGCACUUAAAAAUUCUGAUAAGUCCUGCCAGCUGCCCCUCAGCUGGAGUGCGUUCAGAUUCCGUUCCCACCACAGGACAAGAGCUGCUGCAGCACGUGCCUGUCUUACCCCUUCUGGUUUCAGAGUCGUGGUAUGGAGCUUCUUUUCACAGUUUGUUACCAACUUCCUGCUGGACAUUUUGGCACAUGCUUGUAAAUGCAGAUACUCCAGAGUCUGGUGUGGGAGGAUAUUUAAGCGCACAAGUUUGAGACCAGCCUGGGCAACAUAUUGAGAAUCCCCAUCCCAAAACACUCAAAAAAUUAUUUGUGUGACUUGCCUGUUUGUGUUAUUGAUCCUUUUUGUUGUAGUGGGUUGCUAAUUAUUUGUAGGAACUUAGAAGAUUAUCUUUUGUUUAUGGUGCUUUUUUAGAAGUUUUGUGUGUGUGUGUGCACACAUGCACUGGAGUUGGAACCCAGGCAAGCGGUUUACCACAGAGCUGCACCCCUGGCCCCUAUAGAUUUUUGUGUAGUUAUAGCUGUUAAUCUGUUUGUCUUAUAAUUUUUACCUUUCAGAUUUCAGGCUUAUAUGCUAUUUUUCCUUUUACUUUACUAUUUUACCUUUAAAAUUUCAUCAUUAAGCUAGCAGGAAUUUUUGUGUGUGUUAUAAAGUGAGGAUCUUAACUGAACUUUUUUGGCAAGAAGGCCUUUUUAUUUGUUGUUGUGGUUCUGGGGAUUGAACCUCGGGCCUUACGCCUCCCAGGUGAGCAUUCUGCUACUGAGCCACAUUCCCAACCCACAAGAAGGCAUUUGUCGUGACACAGCUUGAUGACUAAUCCAUCAUACCUUAACGAAAUUGAAAGUUGCUUAAGUCCAUUAAACUCUGAAGCAUGGGUCUAUUUCUGGACCCUCUAUUUUGUUUUUGUUAUAGGUACUAAAAAAUACUGUUGAUGAUAGUUACACUGUUAAUACAUGAUAUGAACAGAGAGAGAGGAUGGUAAUGAUGAUGAACACCAGCAACACUCCAUAUUGAUGGAGCGCUUCUUUCAUGCCAGACCCUAAAUUAAGCAUUUCACAUGGAACACUACCUUUUUUUUUUAGUUGUUCAUACAUGGACACAUAACUUUAAUUAAUUAAUUAAUUAAUUUUUAAUGUGGUACUGAGAAUUGAACCCAGUGCCUCACAUGUGCUAGGCAAGCACUCUACCACAAAGCUACAAUGGCAGCCCUGGAACACUUCUUAUUUAAUCCUGUGGGCAAAGUACUGCUUUUGUGUGUUUUUCAGAGGAAGACCUGUCAACGUGGUUGUUUGGAUAGUGUAUAGCCGGCCUUACUUCUUUUAGCACUGCUAACUUGACCUUCUCCUACAGCUAAGCAGAAAUGUCUGUGUUUCAGGAAUCGGUGACCUUCAAGGAUGUGGUAGUGGACUUUACCCAAGAAGAAUGGAAACAGCUGGACCCUAUACAGAGAGAUUUGUUCAGGGAUGUGACGCUGGAAAAUUAUACACAUCUGGUCUCCAUAGGUAAGUAUGACCCCCUGAGUUAAGAUUGGGCUGUGAAGGGGGAGGGCUCUCUCCUCACUUUUCCUUUAGGUUCAGGAGCCAACAAUAUUUAGAUUUUGAGUUUUUAAGGUAGUUUCUACUUCUUUUUUUUUAAUGUUUAUUUUUUAGUUGUACACAAUACCUUUAUUUAUUUUUAUGUGGUGCUGAGGAUUGAACCCAGGGCCUCACAUGUGCUAGACAAGCGCUGUACCACUGAGCCACAACCCCAGCCCAGUUUCUACUUCUUAAUAAGCAGAGGGACAAACUAAUAAUUUUCUUGAAUCCCAUCCAUGUUUAGGAACCAGGUAACACUGAAGCUUGAUACACUAUUUGUUCCCGUCAGGUUUGUCCCACAUACCAGUUUCUCUAAACCAAAGUGAUGAGACUGAAACUGAAUUCUGAUAUGGUCUUCUUCCCUAACUGCAGACAGAUUCUUUUAUUUAUUUAUUUUUAUUCCCCUUGGCAGGACUCCAAGUUUCCAAACCUGAUGUGAUUUCCCAGCUAGAGCAAGGGACAGAGCCAUGGACUGUGGAACCAUUAUGUCCCCUUGGAGGUGAGUAAUGUGUGCUGGCAGAUGAAUGUCACUAGCUCCAGCUGCCAGCCCAGCAAGGGAGGGUUUCAUGCCCGAGCUGUCAGUGUGUAUGCUUCUCUGUAAAGUAUGUCCUGUAGAGAAAGAAAAAUUAUCUAUCCUGCCUAGUCUUAUAUUCUGUCAUGCAACUGUCAUAAUUUAUAUUCUAUUUUUGCAUUCCUUCUAGAGGAUUGGUCAUUCCUGCCUAGUCCUAAAGCCAGGAUCUCUGUCUGCACUCUGGGUUCCCUUUCCUGCUUCCUUUGGGACCUUGAUCUCAUAAUUUUCCAUUUAUUUUUUAUCGCCCCGUUUUUUGUUUUGGAUCUACAGGUUCUAUCCCUGUUAACCAUCAAACAGAAACAGUCUAUAUUUCCAAAUACGAUUACUCAACACUAUUCAUCUUUUUGCCUACCAUCCUCCCUCUCUUUUCUUUCCAAACCUAGCUCACCAAAAGUGGUCUCUGUAGCAGCAACCUGCAUCCCUUCACUUUCUGCAUCUCAUGCAGACCUUCUGAUUCUGUCACUUUUCUAGACUUAUUUUGAAGCUGCAAGUUGGCCUUCUUCUAAAUCAUCAGUGUCUAAACUGCACAGAGAAACCUUUUCUAAGACCGAUCCUGGGGAAGGAAUAACUAGUCUCUCUAGGCAAGGAAUAUAUCCCUAGAGUUAAUGGGAUGCAGUUGGAAAUUCUCUUUUAUAGCGGGAAUAAAAAUGUGAGUCAUGGGGCUAGGGUUGUGGCUCAGUGUAGAGCACUUUCCUAGCAUAAGUGAGGCACUGGGUUCGAUCCCCGGCACCACAUAAAAAAAUAAACAAAUAAAGGUAUUGUGUCCAUCUACAACUAAAAAAAAAUGUGAGUCAUAUGUAAUUUGGAAAUGCUAGAUUAGCUAAAAUUAUAACAAGUUUUUUACUUGAGUACCAUGCAGAGAUUUUUUUUAAAUAGGCAAUUAAGUGUUAUAAAUCCCAUGGUUGAUGUGUGAGGUGUCCCCCAAAAGCUCAUGUGUGAGAUAAUGCAAGACGUUUUACAGGUGAAAUGAUUGGGUUAUGAGACCCCUUAACCAGUAAAUGGGUUAAUCCACUGAUAUGGAUUAACUGGAGGAAGUGGGUCACUGGAGGCAGGACUUCGUGUUUAUAUUUGGUGAAGUGAGCUUUCUCUGCUUCCUGGUGUCAUGCUCUGAGCUGCUUUCCUCUGCCAUGUUCUUCCAUCAUGAUGUUCUGUCUCACCUUGGGCCCAGAGCUUUGGAGUCAACCAGCCAUGGACUGACCCUUUUAAACUGUGAGCCAAAAUAAGUUUUCUCUUCUCUGCAUUAUUCUCCUCAGGUCUUUUGGUCACAGUGCCAAAAAAUCUGACUAAAAAAAUAUGUUUCCAAAAGGUUCACAGACUAUGACUUUUUCUUUCUCCCUUUUCCUCUCCAUCUCCCUGCUUUCUCUCCCCUUUGUCUAACUAUGAAGAUGAUUUCUUGGAAUAUAAUCCAGAAAAUUGUUUUUUAUAAGAGCUUAUUAAUUGGUGCUUACAGUUUAUUAACUUUGGUAAAAAACAAAUUGUGAAGUUGUAUCACAAAUUAAAAAUGAAGUUUCAGAAAGUCCUGACUUGUCCAGAGAGAAAACAAUUUUAAAACAUUUAAAUGUGUAUUCAAAAACCUCGGGCAUUUUUUUAAAAAAAUGCAGUAGUCAUAAAAGAAAUUCAUUUAGGUCAAAAUAUAAAACCCCAUGUUGCAUAGGUGAAAUAUAGGUAGUUACAGUUACCUGAUCAGUGGACAGAAAGCAAAUGUUUGAGGUAUUUAGCUUUUUUUUGGUUACUUUUUAUUGCUGGAAUUUGACCCUAAUGAUGGUAGUCGUAGGAAACCAGCCUCCAGCCUUGCUUUCUUCACUGUUUGGAAUAGAUUUAUCUUUGGUGUAGGAUAGCUGCUUGUGUUUAUAAAGAUAACUCCAGCUGUACAGACAUCUGAACAGGUAAUUGGAAUGGAGACAGUACCUGCAUUGCGGUGCCCUGGGCCUGCCUCCUUCAUCUCUUCAUCCUCUUUCUGUCCUCUUCUCUAGGCUGUCUCGGUAGCCGCCUCUGCAGAAUCAGCACCUAAAAUCCUGAUGUGUCUGCUUUGCCAGUCUGCCUUGUUCUGCAUCCUGGUUUUCAGCACCCUCAGUUUAUGCACUGGGUAUUAGAAUGUUUUGGUCAGUGCCUGGAGAUGAGGAAUACAGUAAAAUGAUUUGGAACUGCUUUCUGAGUAGGGUGCUGGUGUUCAGCAUGGUCUUCUGGAACCUUCUCCAGAGAAGUUUGUUUUUUUAUUGUUGUUAUUGUUUUGUAGGGCUGGGAAUUGAACCCAGGGCCUUGUGCAUGCAAGGCAAGGACUCCACCAACUGAGCUAUAUUCCUAGCCCCGUGAUCUAAUCUUGUUGUCUUCAGCUGAGACACCAGUCGUUGUUGGUGACUGGCCAUGUCCACGCCCUUUUAUCCUUCAGCAACACCCAGCUCUGUGGUUUGCAUUAUCCCUCAGUGCAGAACUUCUCGGACGUACUCCUUAUGGUCAUCUGAUGUAUGAAUGCAUCUUCCUUGGUGUCCUUCCUGUUGAUGGAGACAUUCAUUUAACUACUUGGCUGUGCCGAAGGCUGGCUGCACUGAUCUUGUCUUUGUGGGGAAGUUCUACCGCUAUGAGGCUGCCUGCAUGCAUGCUCUGCCAUGCCCAUAUCCCAGGGGUGGAAGGGAUGGUAGGCCUCUCUGGGGUCUUGCUUAGCUCAUGCUUGCAGACUGUGGUAAGUGGGAAAGACUCAGGGCUCUCUGGAGUGUGCUGUUUACCUUCCUGUCCCAGGGGAACUGAAGAAAUGCAACCUGAAAGAACUUGUUCAUGGCAGAACCUAAAGUGUUGAUCCCAUGCUUCUGUGGUCAUCUCUCUAGUCUGGGAAAACACUCUGCUUUCUGAUUGUCCAUUUCCUGGCCUUUUUGUUUCUUUGCUGUACUUGCCCACAAGCUGCUUUUCUUCUUUUUGCAUAUUUCACUCAUCUCAUUACCCUCUGGGCCCUCAAGGAUCGCCCCUACCUCUGCUCUUCUUUUACUUCCUUUCCUAGCCUGCAGUUGAACAUCCUGCUCAUCCUGUACCUUGUGGCGUCUUCCACCCUCACAGGCACGACCGUGGUCCAGACCUGUUUUUUCUCCACUUUCGCAGAGUGCUUAACUAGAACUUAACUAUCUUCCUCCCCUUAAGUUGUUUCUAGACAGCUCUCCCAUUUAUAACAGCGAUACUACCAUAUCCUCCAUGGUCCAGGCUAACAACCAUGGGGCCCUAGCCCAGUCUUUCUGAUCUGCCCUGUUUUUAAAUCAGUAUUCUUGGACUUGUUGUAUUGUUCAUUAGCAUGGAAUCCUAGUUCUGGCUGCCCCUUUCAGAUUCAGGCCAUUUAUGCCUAUCUUUAACCGUCUCCAGUCACCUUUUUAAUCAUCACCUUAAAUGGAGUCUCCUCGCUCAUUCUGAGAAAUUAUCUGUAAAGUUGAAGUAGGCUUUCUUUUGCCAUAUUCUUAAGUUGUUUAUUGUUCUUAGCUCUUUCUUUCUCCCCAAUAAUAGGGUUAUAUACUUAUUUUUAGCUUCAUUAGAUCAUUCCCACAAUAGUAGUUCUUUUUUCUCAGUUCAAGGGAACACUCACAUUUUAUUUUAUUUCAGAAGGGGAGACAAGACCUGAAGAUAGUGUUCCCCGCCCAGAACUGGGCAUCUCUUCAGAGGUGAUAGUGGGAACAUACAGAAGGGAAGAUAUUUGGAGUUCCCAUGUCUUGGAGUCUCAGGUAUCUGGAUGCAAUAUAGAGAGGCAGCAAGCAAACCAACAGACACCACCAAGUGAAGUAGAAGUGGUCAAAAAAAUAGUACCCACCUGGGAGGGAGGCCCUGCCACGAACGAACUUGAAAAAAGCAUCGUUGUGAGUUCAAGCCUUUUAGCACAGCAGGAAAUAUCUCCAGGACAGGCUUUUGCUAAAGUAAGCAUCAAACAGAAUUCACACACAGUGAAAAAAGAGAAGUCUUGUAAGUGCAGUGAAUGUGGUAAAGCUUUUAGUUAUUGUUCUGCUCUUAUCCGCCAUCAGCGAACACAUACUGGAGAAAAGCCUUACAAAUGUAAUGAAUGUGAAAAGGCCUUCAGCCGGAGUGAAAACCUUAUAAACCAUCAGAGAAUUCACACUGGAGAUAAGCCAUACAAAUGCGAUCAGUGUGGAAAAGGCUUCAUUGAGGGCCCAUCUCUUACUCAGCAUCAAAGAAUACACACCGGAGAAAAGCCCUAUAAAUGUGAGGAGUGUGGGAAGGCCUUUAGUCAGAGGACGCAUCUUGUUCAGCAUCAGAGGAUCCACACGGGUGAGAAGCCUUACACUUGUAAUGAUUGUGGAAAAGCUUUUAGCCAGAGAGGUCAUUUCAUGGAACAUCAGAAGAUUCAUACAGGAGAGAAGCCUUUCAAAUGUGAGGAGUGUGAUAAGACUUUCACCAGGAGCACACACCUCACUCAACAUCAGAAAAUUCACACCGGAGAGAAAACCUACAAGUGUAAUGAAUGUGGCAAGGCCUUCAACGGGCCCUCGACCUUCAUCCGUCACCACAUGAUUCACACGGGCGAGAAGCCCUAUGAGUGCAACGAGUGUGGCAAGGCCUUCAGCCAGCACUCGAACCUCACCCAGCACCAGAAGACACACACCGGCGAGAAGCCCUAUGACUGCGCAGAGUGCGGGAAGGCCUUCAGCUACUGGUCAUCCCUCGCGCAGCAUCUCAAGAUCCACACUGGGGAGAAGCCCUACAAGUGCAGUGAGUGCGGAAAGGCCUUCAGUUACUGCUCGUCCCUUACGCAGCACCGGAGAAUCCACACCAGAGAAAAGCCCUUUGAGUGUAGCGAGUGUGGAAAGGCUUUCAGUUACCUCUCCAACCUCAACCAGCAUCAGAAAACUCACACCCAGGAGAAAGCCUAUGAGUGUAAGGAAUGUGGGAAAGCCUUCAUUCGGAGCUCAUCUCUUGCCAAGCACGAAAGGAUUCAUACCGGGGAGAAACCCUAUCAGUGUCACGAAUGUGGGAAAACCUUCAGCUACGGCUCAUCCCUCAUCCAGCACAGGAAGAUCCACACUGGAGAGAGACCGUACAAGUGUAACGAAUGUGGGAGAGCCUUCAACCAGAACAUACACCUCACACAGCAUAAGAGGAUCCACACAGGAGUGAAGCCUUAUGUGUGUCCCGCAUGUGGGAAGGCCUUUCGGCAUUGCUCCUCUCUCGCACAGCACCAGAAAACUCACACGGAAGAAAAGCCCUACCAGUGCAAUAAAUGUGAGAAGACGUUCAGCCAGAGCUCCCACCUGACUCAGCACCAGCGCAUUCACACUGGAGAGAAGCCCUAUAAGUGCAGUGCAUGUGACAAAGCCUUCAGCCGCAGCACUCACCUGACGGAACACCAGAACACGCAUUCCGGAGAGAAGCCUUACAACUGCAGCGAGUGCAGGAAGACCUUCAGCCAGAGCACUUACCUGACUCAGCAUCAGAGAAUACAUUCAGGGGAGAAGCCUUUUGGCUGUAGCGACUGUGGGAAAGCCUUCAGGUAUCGGUCAGCUCUCACCAAGCACCAGAGACUGCACCCUGGCAUCUGACCGUCCUGGAAGCAUCGUGGGUGUAGGUGCUGCGUGUGCUUGGGUUUGUGCUUUUGUUACGUACUGAAGAAUCGGUAGACAGAAACUCCUCAAGCAUUUGACCUUUUCACUACUGUGAUAUGGGAUGGAAAGUACACUGGCUGAACCCCUGUGGCAGUGGGAAGCUCAAGUGUUUUAAACUUUAGUUUCCUCUGUGAAAUCAGAGUUUGGGGGUUGAUGAUCUCAGCGGCAGUUAGGAGUUUUAUACUCAGUUUUGUAUAUCUACAGUAUAUCCUUAAAUAGUUUGUGCAUCAGGCUUUUGGUGGUGCAUCUAGAAUGUGUAUGUUCAUGCAUGUUUUGCCAGUAGAAGGAAUUCGUGCUUCAGUCACGAGGGAUCUGUUUGACUCCUGUUCUAAUGCACUAAGUUGCUUAGGCUAUUGCUUUCUAAUAAAAAGAACUACAAAGGACCCUCAGUUCAGAUGUAUGUGACAGCCUAACUCCACUUGCGUAUUAAAAGUUGGUAGUCAGGUGGGUGCUCUGCCCCUGUAGUCCAGCUACUCAAGAGUCUGAGCCCAGGAGUUCAACACCACAUUGGACCACAUAGUAGGAUCCCAUCUCAAAAAAACAAAAAGGUAUUCUAGUUUAUUUUUAAUAUUCUGGGAGUUUGUUACAGUCACAUUGGUCUGCUUCUGCAUCUCACAGCAGCAUUACUUAACCCUGGUUGCACAUGGGAAUCAUAUGAUGUCUUAGUUUAGAUUGCUAUAACAAAUUAUAGCCAGGUUUGGUGGCAUAUACCUGUAAUCCCCGAGACUUGGGAGGCAGUAGGAUUACAAGCUUGAGGACAGCCUCACCAACUUGGUGAGACCCUGUCUCAGAAAAUAAACAAGGAUGGGGAUAUUGCUUAGCAGUAGAGUACCUCUGGGUUUAAUCCCCAGUUCCAUAAAACAAACCAACAAAAAUUUACCAUGGAAAUUUAUGGAGUCAGUAAUCUGAGGUCCAGGCUCGAAUGGACCUAGUAUCUGCUGACAGCCCACUUCGUGGUUGUAGAUAGCUGUUUUCUUGGAUGCUUACUUGGCAAAGAGCAGAGAAAGAGAAAGCAAGCUCUCUUUUUAUAGGGUACCAGUCAAGUUCAUGGGGGCUGCACCCUCAACCUAAUACCUCCCCUCAGUGCCUCACACCAAAUACUGUCCCACUGGGGGUAAGCUGCCAACGUGUGCAUUUGGACCGGACACUUCAGGAACGCCACACAAUUCCAUUGCCCAGGCCCCACCCCAUAGACUGUAACUUACUUGGAUUAGGAUAUGGGAUCCAGGAUCCAGGUUUUUUUUAUGUUGUUUGCUUUUAACGUCUCACGUGUGCCCUGGAGAGAGCGAUUGGCUCAGAUUUCAGUGCGCACUCGUUCAGUCAGGAGCCUCUGUGGCUGCUCCUGGAAGCCUCGUAGAUCAGCUCUCAGAGGUAAGGUCAGUUUGUUUCGUCACCUUGGUGCAAAAACAAAAUUAUAACGUUUACACUGAUGACGGUCACUUCACAUGUCUCUGGCUUCCUUACAUCAGAAGCAGUUGACACCCUGGGGAGACAUGGCCCAUAAUCUACAUGACCACUCUGGCCCUGUUCAGGAAACACGUUUAGCCAAAGAGUAAUGCACCUUCUCUUCCCUCUAGGUGCAGCCUAGUUCUUAUCAGGCCAGGUCGUUUACGAGUAGUUGGUCAUUUCUCAGCCUGAACUUGAACAUGAAGAGCUCUUGAGAGCAGCAGGCAGCACAGAAACGGGUAUUUCCAGAAAAGAAGAGGGGGUGAGGGACACCAGUGCUGUUCUCUUUGCCUGUGUAAUUGUGCUCCUUCCUCGACGGCAGAUGCCAGUGAAGGGCAGAUGGAAGUUAGAAGUGGAACAGUGCAGCCACUUAAGUACUGGACUUUUCUUUGUUGCAGCUUGAAGCAGCUAUACAGGAAUGUUUCUUGUUAUUAGUUUCCCAAGUCUUUCUUCACGCAGGAAUUAUAGUUAUCCCAUCACUUAGAGAGGGGGACACAAUCAUCUUUGCCUGGCAUCUGAGUAGCCCCCACAGUACAAAGAAAUGCAGAGUCUACAUACAGGCAGAGGGUCCUUCAGCCCCAGAGGAGAUCUGAAAAUGGACAAAAUCAGUCUGCAGUGGAAGGAUGGGUCACUUCGGUUCCCAUAUGAAAAAAGAAUUUAGGUGGAAAUUCCACUAAACCUGAAAAAUGACAGUUUGUGGCAUUUGAUUUUAUCUCAUUACAGGUACUCUUGGAUCAGACUCGGCGCCAAGAAUGUGUGAUCACCUCCUAACUCAGUCACACUCCUACAGAAGUGACCUCUCAGGCCUCCCUCUGCUUGCUUGGAUUUGUUUCCCUGUGUUUUAGAAGUGUGCUAACUGCUCCCAGGUGAUCGAGGUUGAGAAGGGUAAGCAGCGAGGCCUCGGAAGUUAGCAUUGUCCUGUUUCUGGAUCUCCUUCUUAUGUAUUUAGCCUCUUUGCUGGCUGUCCCAGACCAUGUCCCUAAGCAGUAGACCUGCAGUUGCUGCUGAUCCAAGGAUCUGUCCUUUAUCACCCAAGAUGCACCUCGGCUCCCUACUUCCCUUUUUUUAUACCUUAACUCCCAAUUUAAGAACAGAACAAGGAAGUGACUAUCAUUUCUGACUUUUUCCCCUCCUAAUUCUAUAAUUCUGUGUCAUCUCUAUCAUACACAUAACACUAAUAUUAGUUCCUUAAUAUUUAUCAACUGGGAAUGUAAGCAGAAUUAAAAUCUAGAGAAUUAUAGAUGCAGCUCACCAUCUGUGUGACCACUGACCCUGGAUGGUGAGAGCUGUGACCUGAUGAGUCCAUCCUCGUUUGAAUGGACUGGUGGUAACCACGGGCAGGUGGGGCAUGCCUGGAGGAGGUGAGUCACUGGGGACCUGCCCAGCAUUUUCCCUGUGGCCCCUUCCUUCCUUCCCUGCUUCCUGAGCUGAGCAGCUUCCCUCUGAUGGGCUCUUCCUCCAUGAUGUGCUGCCUCACCUUGUGCUCAGAACAAUGGAGUUGGCCGUCUAUGGACUGAGACCUUUGAGCCCCAGUAAAUUUUUCUUUCUCUUAGUUGUUUUUUAUUUUAUCUUUCCACGUGUUUCAGUCACAGUGAUGCAAAAGCUCACUAAAACAGAUGCAAACCUGGGGUUAAAACUUGUGACACAGCCUAUAUGUGUGCUUGACUUUAGUAGACACUGCCAAAUAGUUCCCCAGUUUACAGUCCCACCACCCAUGUUUGAGAACUUCCAUUGUCCCACAUCUUUGCCAACUUCUCACUCACUGUGGACGUCAACAGCCACUGUGUCAAGUAGGGCAGAGUUCCACUCCAGAGAGAUGCUUUGGAGAGUCUACAGUGUGUAUUUAAAGUUGUGGGACUGGAUGCCAUGGCUAAAGUGGGGGCGUGGAAGUAGAUAAAGAAAAGUUCUGAGGACUGGCGCUUGGUAACUCCAGCUUCUAAGGGCUGGGGCAGAGGUCGCCUAGCAUGUGUGAGGCCCUGGGUUCCAAUGCCACCAUCACACACAAUAUCCAACUUUUAGAAAUCAGGAAGAUGAGGAUCCACAUGGGAAGCAAGCAGCAGGUGUUUCGGGAGGACGAGCAGCAGGGUGUAGAAUCCUGGAAGCUAGAGAAAGCCGUGUUUCAGGAUGAGAGGCUGACCAUCAUGGCAGACACUGCUGAGGCUGAAUGAGAGGCAGACAGUCGGCUUCAGAUUUGGCAAAGGGGACAAGGGUGAUCUUAAAAGCAGUUUUGGAAAAGUAAAUCUAAACCCUGGAGGGGUAAAUAUGAGAAAGGAAGCAACUGGAGAAAGCAAAUUUGAACACUGGUGUUUUGCUGUAAAAGAAAGAAAUGGGUAGUUGCCAGUAGGCAUCAUGGAGUUGGGGACUUCGUAACAUGAGGUACUACAGUUGGAAAGCUGUUGGGAUUGGACCAGAGAGGGAAAAAUGGUGAUCCAGAAGAGAGAGAUAAGUAGCAUGGAGUCCUUGAGGAAGCAGGAUGAGAUGAGCCUUGGGUACAGUGGCAGGGUGGGCUUAGAAGACAAGCACAGUGUGGUUGUUAGAAUAGGAGGGGACAUGAGUCCUCGCGCUUGGUCACGGGGCUGGGGGGACGUCUGACGUUCCCUUCUGUUUUGAUUUUUCCGUAGAAAUUAGGUAACAAAUUAAGGAUAAGAAGAGGUUAAAGAGGUGUUAGAGAGGUUUGGGGAGAGGCGAUGAGGUCAACUCCUACAGUGUGGGAGAGCGAACUGUUCUUAGAGAUGUAAGGUUGGAGGCAGCACCAGCAGUGCCCAUGGGGCACUAGUUCAUGAGUUAAAGGAGACAAAUUGUCAUUAAGUGUUCUUCAGCAACCGUUAGCUGCGUGGGAGCAGGGGUAGAAGAAGCUGAAACUGGGAUAGCCAGAAGUUUUCUAGGAGAAGAGACCAAGAGCAGGGGUGCUUACUUAAGGGGAUUGCUGCGAGGGCUAUAGAAUUCAGGCUGGGAGGAAAGAAUAAGGGUUGGAGGUGGGUGGUGGGAGAAGGUGAGGGAUUAGCAAAGGAAAAAAAAUUCAUGGCUCUUACAAUUUUAGGUUUUGUUGGGACUGAAGAAAUGGAGCAGAUGUCGUAAUCUCCCCAAGAGUGAGGGAGUGCCUUCUGCCAGAAGGGUGGGUGGUCCAGUUGACAGCUGGGGUCUCCCUGCAGCUAGGGGCUCUGGGUGACAGAAUCAUGGUCUGAAAGUGCAGCAAAGAACUAGAAGGCCCCUUCCUCUGCUCCAGGCCUGGGUAAGUUAGGUGUGGAUGUUGAAGCAAGGAAGAGGAGCCAGAAUCUUCUGGAGAGUUGUUUUUGAAUCUGUGAUAUAUGUUCUUGUGAAUUUCAUCAUUAUGCUGAAUAUCAACCAGAAAGUUACUUCAACAAUUUGGGAACAUUUUGAAUUAAGGAUGGUGAUCGAAGAGCCUGGUUUCUCAAAUCUCACAGUAAAAAAAAAAGAACAAAGAAGAAGAAGAAAGGCAAUAGAAGAGGGCCCUUAGAUCCCCAGCACCUCGAAACAAAUUGAUUUUUUUGUUUUUUGUUCAUCAGUGUGAUUUUGCUUAAUGUGAGUCAGUCCCUUCUUGAACUCCUACUGCUGAUCACACCUAGUUUUAAGAACUCGGCACUAGGCUCUGGACGAUGACUACAGCAACAGUUACUCAUUGAAUAGCAACAUUGCAGUCCACUUUUGAGGCAUGAUCUCAUUUUUUUAUAACAACCCCUGGAGGCUUGAGUUGCCAUACCCAUUUUCAUAGGUGAUGAAACAAUCAUAUAAGUGGUGGAGACAGCUUUCAAUUUCUGGUCUUGCUUCAAAGUCUGUACUUUUCCACUCAUCACAAUGCCUACCACAGGUAGUGCUGUCCUGGGUACUGGGUUUUGGGUAGUGACAAGGACAUAGCCACACCCUUGCUUCAACCUCCAUCACAGUUUGGAACUUCUCUUUCAUAUACCCAGUAUUUAAUCUCUAUGGCACUUCCCUUUUGGGCCUAAGCCAUCACACAGAUGCAAAAAUACUUAAUAAAAUAUUAGCAAAUCAUGUCCAACAACAUAUCAAGAUUACACACCAUGACCCAGAUGGUUUUAUUCCACAGACGCAAGGAUGGCUUAAAAUAUGCAAAUCAAUAAAUAUAAUUCAUCACCUAAAGAGGAUUAAGGCCAAAAAAAUCACUAAAUCAUCUCAACAGAUGCAGAGAAGACCUUUGACAAAAUUUAGCACCCAUUCAUGAUAAAGACACUGAAGAAACUAGAGAUAUAAGGAACCUACCUCAAUAUCAUAAAGGUUGUAUAUGAAAAAUCCAAAGCCAACCUCAUAGUAAAUGGGGAAAUACUGAAUGCAUUUUCUAAAAUCUGGGACAAGACAAGAUGUCCACUCUCACCACUCCUAUUAAAUAUAGUGCUAGAGGGCUGGGGUUGUGGCUUAGUGGUAGAGCACUUGCCUAGCAAAUGUGAGGCACUGGGUUCAGUCCUCAGCACCACAUAAAAAAUAAACAAAAUAAAGGUAUUGUGUUCAUUUAUAACUAAAUAUUUUUUAAAAUAUAGUGCUAGGAAAUCUAGCCAGAUUAAUUAGGAAAGAGAAGGAAACAAAAGGGAUAAAAACAAAAAAGGAAAAAGUCAUAUUUUCACUGUUUGCACAUGAUUUGAUCCUAUACCAAGAAGAUUUAAAGAACUGUACCAAAAGACUGUUAGAGCUAAUGAAUAAAUUCAGCAAAGUAGCAGGUUACAAAAUCAACAUACCUUUCAUGUAUCCCAGCAGUGAUUCUGCUGAGAAAGAAUCAGGGAAACAAUUGCUUUCACAAUAGCCCCAAGAAAAUGAAAUAACAAGGCAUAAAGCUAACCAAGGAGGUGAAAGACCUCUACAAUGAAAACUAUAGAACAUUGAAGAAAGAAAUUGAAGAACUCAGAAGAUGGAAAGACCUCUCAUGUUCUUGGAUAGGCAGAAUUCAUAUUGCUAAAAUGACCAUAUUACUGAAAGGAAUAUACAGAUUUGAUGUGGUACCCAUCAAAAUAUCAAUGACGUUCUUCACAGCACUAGAAAAAUCAGUCCUAAAAUUCAUAUGGAAGAAUAAAAGGCCCAAAUAGUCAAAAUAAUUACAACCCAAAAUAAUUAAUAAAUAAUGCUAGAAGCAUCACAAUUUCUGACUUCAAAAAUCUACUACAAAGCUAUAGUAACAAAAACUACAUGAUACUAGCAUAAAAAUAGGCACCUAGAACAAUGAUACAGAUUAGAAGACAGAGAGAAAAACCUGUGCAUCUACAGUCGUCUGAUCCUUGAUAAAGGUGCCAAAAACAUACAAUGGAGAAAAGAUAGUCUUUUUAACAAAUGGCACAAGGGAAACUGGUUAUUCAUAUGUAGAAGAGAAAAACUAGAUCUUUAUCUCUCACCCUGCACAAAAGUCAACUCAAAAUGGAUCAAAGAUGUAGGAAUUAGACCAGAAACUAUGCAACUUCUAGAAGAAAUGUAGGGUUAAUCCUACAACAUAUAGGCACAGGCAAUGGCCUUCUGAAUAGGAUACCUAAGGCUCAGGAAAUAAGGCCAAGUGUUAAUAAAUGGGAUGCUAUGGAAUUGAAAAAGCAUCUGCACAACAAAGGAAACAAUUAUCAAUGUGAAAAGAGAAGCUACAGAAUGGUGGAAAAAUCUUUGCUAGCUAUUUUUCUGACAGAGAAUUAAUAUCCAGAAUUUAUAAAGAAAUCAAAAAACUUUACACCAAAAAAUUAGAUAAUCCAAUUAAUAAAUGGGCAAAUGAACUCAAUGCAUACUUCUCAAAGAAAUAUAACAGCCAAAAAAUACAUGAAAAAAUGUUCAACAUCAUUAGCAAUUAGGGAAAUGCAAAUCAAAACUACACUGAGAUUUCAUCUCACAUCAGUCAGAAUGGAUGAAUGGAUAAAGAAAAUGUGACUUAUAUAAAAAAUGGAGUUUUAUUCAGCCAUAAAGAAUGAAAUUAUGUCAUUUACAGGAAAAUGAAUGGAAUUAUAGACCAUUUUAAGUGGAAUAAGUCAAACUCGGAAGAUCAAGGGUGGUAUAUUUUCUCUUAUAAGCAGAAGCUGGAAAGGAAAAAGAAAAAUGUGGGGGUGGAUCUCAUGAAAAUCAAAGAGUGAUCUGUAUUAGAAAGGGAUGAAGGGGUGAAUGGUGGGGAUGGAGGAGAGAAGUAAAGGGGAUCCAUAUUGGCCAAAUUAUAUUGUUAUAUUGUCUGCAUGUAUGAAUAUGUAACAACAAAUCCCAUCAUAUGUACAACUAUAAUAUCCCAAUAAAAAAAUGUAGAAAAACAACAAAAAGACCAGGAACAAGACAAGCCUGGCUGAUUUGCCCACUAUCUGGUCUAUAUGGAAUUAGAAAUUCUAGCCAGACUAAUUAGUCAAGAAAGAAAAAAAAAAUGGUAUCCAAAGUGGUAAGGAAGAAGCAAAACUAUCUUUGUUCACAGAUGACAUGAUCUUAUACAUAAUAAACCCUGAAGAUCUCACACAAACACAAAAGAGCUACUAAAUCGGUUCAGCAAAGUUAUACAAAAUCGACACACAAAAAUCAAUUUCACUGCUAUAUAUUAAGAAUGGAUAAUUUUAAAAAUAAAUUACGUCGUAAGUAAAUAGAAAGACAUUUGAUGCUUAAUGGGUUGGAAGACUUCACACUGUUAUGAGGACAACACCACUCAAAGUAGUUUACAGAUUCAAUGUCAUCCCUAUCAAAAUCCUAGUGGUGGCUUUUUCUCCCUCCCAAAAUCGUGAGACCCCCCCAAAUAGCCAAAAAAAAAAAAAAAACUUCACAAAAUUUUGAAACAUUUCCUGACUUCAAAAUAUACUGCAAAUCUAGAAUAAUCAAGACUGUGAUACUGGUAUAAGGGCAGACCUCAGAACCAAUGGAAUAGAAUAGGCUUCCAAGGCCAUUCAAUGAGUAAAGGAUGAUUUUUUUUUUUUCAACAAAUGGUUCUGGGGAAACUGCAAACCACAUGCAAAAGAUUGAAUAAUGACCCUUGGCUACAACAUACACAAAAAUUCACUCAAAAGGGAUCAAAGACCUAAAUCGCCGGAAGUCAUCCAUAACCCUUGUGUGAACUGAGCCAUGCGUAAAUUGAGUGAUGUUGAAGCCAUUAGGCAGGGAAGCCUGGUUUCAGGAACUCACAGUCAGAUUCUACUGGUCUGAGAAUGCCCAAUCCAUGUGGCACCCUGUUCAAGCUCCCCAUCAAGUACUAGCACAGUUCCAGAGAUCGGGUGACCCAAUGAAGCCACUCAGCCUCUCGGAGAUGGAUGUGGCUUGCCAAAAUGCCAAUCAAGCUGUUUACUGCAAGACCCUGCCACACCGAGAAGCUAGCACAGAACCAAGACACUUCCAGCUGAAACACUCCCCCUGCCUUUGAUGUAUUCCCCCUUCAAUAAAGGACUGGGGCCUUUUUUCAGUUGUUUAGUUACAGCUCCUAUCAGGACUGGAAGACCCUUCAGGCACUCCCCUCUUUAUAUCUAAUUUCUGGCUCUGUCUUUAUUCUUACUGAUUAUUUUAGACUUUUAAUUUCCUAGGUGGCUCACACCUCCUGAGCAGGAACCUACUGGGAUGGAUUGGAAGACUUCACACUGAGGACAACACCACCCAAAGUAGUUUACAGAAUCAAUGCCAUCCCUAUCAAAAUAUGCAGGUCACCUGGCAAUACUAAAUAUAAGUGCCAUCACACAACUUUUUGAAGAAGACAGGAGAAAAUCUCCAUGACAUUGAAUUUGGCAGUGACUUGUUGUGUACUAUACACACACAUUCAUAGUAGUAUUGUUCCCAACAGCUCAAAGAUGGGAGCAACCCAAGUGACCACUAACAUCUAAAUGGACAAACAAAAUGGUAUAUGCUUAAAAAUAAGGAGAUUCUGACAUGUUAGGACAUCCAUGAAUUCUGAAAACGUGCUAAGAGAAGCCAGACAGGAAGGGACAAACACCCGUGAUUCCCUGUCUUCAAGGCACCUGAGUAGGUAGCUUAUGGAGACAGAUGGUGGGUCAGCAGUUACCAGGGUCACAGGGUGAUGGUCACUGUUUGAUGCAAACAGACUGUUGGGCACGGUGAAUGGUUCUGGAGAGCCCAGCCAUGGCUGUAGAUUGCAGUGUACUUAAUGCCACCUGAAUGCAGGCUCGUCAAAGUGGGAAACCCUGUGUGUGUCUCACUGCUGAGAGCCACGGCCGAGUCUGUAUGGCCCCUGGCAUUUUGCCAACCAUUUUUCCCAAUCUGCCUGAGAAAAUUCUAGGGAUAGGCAGCUUGAAACAAACACAAAACAAAUCAAAACAAGAACACAUUGUUUUUUAAAAUGGUCGCCCAUUCUCUCGCCUUCCCUUAGGGGCAAGCAACUUCACUUACCCCGAAGCUUCAGACGUUCCCCGUACGGGCCACCAAAUGCCGCAGUCUGGCUGGGCACAAAUCACGAGCCACUGAAGCAGGAACAAACUUUAUUUUUAAACUGCAGGAAAACAUUUCACACAGCUCCCGGGGAAUCCUCCCGAACGCGCCAGGAGGCUUGUCCAGGAACCCCCAGCCGGAAAUAUCUCUCCCGGAAAUCCCUCCUCCUGCACUUCCCCAACCAAUGGGAACUCUCGGGGAAUCCCCGGAAAUCCCCAUGAGAACUCCAAAAUAGUGCGAGAACUCAAAAGUUGCGGCAGAGGCGGAUAGUAAUGCCUCGCCUGUCAAUCAAUACUGUUGGCAAAAUGCCAGGGGCCAUACAGACUCGUAUGGCUCUCAGCAUCUCGUGGCUCUCAGCAUCUCACCACAAUAAAAAUCAUAAAUAAGAUCCAACACAGUUCAUAAUAUGAUGAACGGGACUGGCAUGAGGUUGUGGUGAGGGAGGUGAUGAGGCCUUCUGGGGACAUGGUAAGUGAGCUCCAGCUCCUCUGGUGGCCCAGCGACUCACACCAAGUGCACUGAUGACUGCUCUGUUGAUGGACUCCAGGCCAGCAGGUGGACAGGACUCAGAGGGCGUGAUCCAGCUCUGUUCCACUCUGGCUAUUCAGGGAUCAGGUGCAAGGUUGAAGGCGAGGCUGAAAUCACCCGUAGGGCCAUUCGCUUACCUGCCUGGCAAUUGAUGCUGGCUUUCUGCUGAGACUUGUGUUGCUGUAGGUAGAAACACCCAGAGGGCUCCUCUCCAGGUAGCCUAGGCUUUCUCACAGGAUGGUAGCUGUGUCUCAGAGGUGACCCUCCUGAGAGAGAGACAGGUAUCACACCUUUUAUAUCCUCAGCUUGGAAGUUGCUCACUGGCACUGCUGUCAAAGACUAUUCAUGGGGGCAGUAACAAAGUCCCACCCAGGUAUGAAAUGGCGUGGGAGAAUUGGAGCCACCUCCUGCUUGAGAGUGGCAAGGUUCUGGGAGAACACUGGGCCUAGAGAGAUUUCUGUGGUCAUUCAUGGAAGGCAGAAUCUCCCACCAUAUUGCAGGUGAGAGGAGGCAACCACAGAAAGAUGUGGACAAGCUUCCCCAGCAGAAGCCACAGAAAAAUCUGCUGUCUCUCCUUCCACCCAAGGGAUGGCUUCUCAAACUUGGGGUAAAGUUAGGGUGCCCCUUUGCCUUCCAAGCUAACAGAGACUUUGAGACAAAGAGCUCUUUAAAAAUUUUUACCUGUUUUUUGUUGCUGCUCCUUCUUUCUACAGUUGAGACAGCUGAGAAGGGAUUGCAUAUGUAUCAGACAGCAUGAGGUUUUCAGGAUCUUUACUUGAGCCACCAGGCUUCUGUCCCUGACAUGAGACAUAUCCACUUUCACCUGCCUUACUAUGAAUUCCUUUUACCAGAUUCUUAACCCUUCACUCAGAAACCACCUGUAUUUAAAGGCCUGCUUCCAUUUCUGGUGGAUGCUACCGACAGUUUUCAAGCCACCCCACCCACUACCUCUCAUCUGUACAAGUGGUAAGAAAGCCUGUGCUCCCUCCCCUGGAGUCCUAGCAGGGCAAGGUGGGUUUGUCCAAACCACGCAAUCCCUAGCUGUGUAGGGGCCUGCACAUCAGCCCAACCCAGUCACCAUAAAACCCUGAGAUGGGAGUCCCUCCCCACUCUCUCAAGAUAUUUUCAGACCUGGGAGCCUGCCGUGCUCCCCCUAGAAAGCCUUAUUGUAUGGAUGGUGAACUUCACACUCUUUUAGUGCAUGUGUGAAUCAUCAGUCUUGACCUCUGAAGCAAAGUCUGUAUGGUUGGGGAGACUUCAUCCUGCCUCUGUGGGUGACUAUCCCACUACUCCAGUCUGAAUCCUUUGAGGAGCACAACUCAGGUUUUCAACUGGACAUCUUUAUGCACAGGUGUUAGGAAUCAAAUUGUUUCCCUAUAUAAAUUCUGGCUCGUUUACAAAAGCACACUAUAAAAUGACAAUCACGCCUAGUUGCUGGAUUGAAACAGAUGCACUGUUAAACCAUGCACAACUACUUGCUUCCUGUUUCAUUUGGUCUCUGUCAAUGCUAGAGAGUGUUGCCAGUUGCAAGUUAAAAAACAAAAAACAAACCUAUGGCAGAACAAGUUGAUGUUGAGAAGAAAAUGAGUCCACCAACGUUUCCCUCUGUAAAAUGCAACUGUUAAUUCUUACUGGCAGUAUAUCUCUGCCCAUCUAAUGGCAAACACUUGCUCCUGGGAAAAAGCUUGAUGCAGCACUGGCAAGGUCAGGGGAGUUCAUUCCCUCUGGGUGUGUUUGUGUGCCCAUGGUGUGGAGAGGGGACAGAAAGGUGAUCAGCAUGGAUGGUCUCCCGGUGGGAUCAGAUCUGCAGUCCUGUCCUAUGAGUAUGUGUUCUCUGCCUCAGAUGCCUGGGCCUGGGGGAGCCAUCUUGAACAGCAUCAAGGGGACACAUUCUUACCUUGGCCUAUGAGAAGCGUAGUUCUGAGACGAGUACAGAUUGAGGGAAACCUGGAAUCACAGUUCUGAGGGUCUGAUGGCCCUGCUGUUGCCUACAACAGGGAACAAAAGAGGGGCAGGGGUCUCUUUGUUUGAUCCCUUACCCACUCUACCUUUAGGUAGAGUCCAGCACUGUGAAGAAAGUAUGACCAAACAUCAGUGGAACUCCACCACCUGGCAACUGUAGAAAAAUAUGACCAUCUUGAUCCUGAAAGAGCAGGAAUUUAACUCAUGGACAUGGUAAUUAAAGCAGGAGAUUUAUUCCCAUGGUUCUGGAGCCCCAGCAUCUAAACUCAGUUUCAUUGGUCCAAGGUCAAGGCACUACAAGCCCAGAGGAGGGACUAUGCCUCACCUGCUCCAGGUGGUGAGACCUUGGCUUUGUGGCCACCUCAUUCCAACCCGCCUCCUCUUCUGAGUCUCAUCAGCUCUCUCUGUGCCUUCCCCUCGUAAAGAUCCAGGUGAUUGCAUUCAGGGUCCACCCUGAUAACCAGGUCAUCUCCUCAUCUCGACUCUUAACCACACCUGCAAAGUCCUUCUUUGAUGUAUAAGAUAGCAUCCACAGUUUCCAGGAGCUAGUAUAACCAGAUUUCUGGCAGAAUAAAACUACAAUCUCUCUUGUCUCCCACCCUGUGCAGUUGAAGGAAUUCAGAACAUACCCUCCUAAAAUAAGUUGCUCUGCAAUAUUGAUUAUUUUAAGUCACAUGAAAAGAGCAGAUGAAGAUCACUGUGAUCUUCCUUCUUAAAUCAGAUGAAAUUGCAAUGCAAAACAUGUCUUCCGUAGGUCAGAAGGAAAGUGUCAUUGUCAUCAAAGGGAAAAGCAGAGGCUGAGGGAAACCUGCACACACAAUUCUUUACCCUAACUCUUAUCUUCCAAGUGAUUCUCCACCAAACUAACCACUCCAGCCCAAGCCCCCCUUCCUGGUCACAUUUUCACAGUGGAGUACUCCAUCAACUAGUACCUAAAUGCUCAACUCUGCUUCUAUGGGUC
Molecule: long non-coding RNA, 31928 nt
Filed under: Marmota monax (woodchuck)
Lineage: Eukaryota; Metazoa; Chordata; Mammalia; Rodentia; Sciuridae
Source: RNAcentral